UACGAAGGGGGCUAGCGUUGUUCGGAAUCACUGGGCGUAAAGCGCGCGUAGGCGGUUUGUUAAGUCAGAGGUGAAAUCCCAGAGCUCAACUUUGGAAUUGCCUUUGAAACUGAUAGACUUGAGUUCGGUAGAGGGUGGUGGAAUUCCUAGUGUAGAGGUGAAAUUCGUAGAUAUUAGGAGGAACACCAGUGGCGAAGGCGGCCACCUGGGCCGACACUGACGCUGAGGCGCGAAAGCGUGGGGAUCAAACAGG
This 253-nucleotide ribosomal RNA is filed under the name uncultured bacterium. RNAcentral's name for it is "partial 16S ribosomal RNA". It matches the Rfam family "Bacterial small subunit ribosomal RNA", at positions 524 to 776 of the family's 1533-position model. The record is from RNAcentral.